AGUCGAGAAUCUUCGGCAAUGGGCGAAAGCCUGACCGAGCGAUGCCGCGUGCGGGAUGAAGGCCCUCGGGUUGUAAACCGCUGUCGUAGAGGAGAAAGGUCUGAUGAAGAAUCAGAUUUGAUCUAUUCUAGGAGGAAGUCCGGGCUAAGUUCGUGCCAGCAGCCGCGGUAACACGAACCGGACAAACGUUAUUCGGAAUUAUUGGGCUUAAAGGGUGCGUAGGCGGUGCGGUAAGUGCGGUGUGAAAGCCCUCGGCUCAACCGAGGAAUUGCGCUGCAUACUGCCGUGCUGGAGGGAGACAGAGGUAAGCGGAACUGAUGGUGGAGCGGUGAAAUGCGUUGAUAUCAUCAGGAACACCGGUGGCGAAAGCGGCUUACUGGGUCUUCUCUGACGCUGAGGCACGAAAGCUAGGGUAGCGAA
Molecule: ribosomal RNA, 420 nt
Filed under: uncultured Planctomycetaceae bacterium
Lineage: Bacteria; Pseudomonadati; Planctomycetota; Planctomycetia; Planctomycetales; Planctomycetaceae
Description: bacterial SSU rRNA
Rfam family: Bacterial small subunit ribosomal RNA
Source: RNAcentral